This 494-nucleotide ribosomal RNA is filed under the name uncultured bacterium. RNAcentral's name for it is "partial 16S ribosomal RNA". It matches the Rfam family "Bacterial small subunit ribosomal RNA", at positions 30 to 523 of the family's 1533-position model. The record is from RNAcentral.
AUUGAACGCUGGCGGCAGGCCUAACACAUGCAAGUCGAGCGGAAGGGGCUUCGGCCCUGAGAGCGGCGGACGGGUGAGGAGAGCGUGGGAAUCUGCCUGUAGAUGGGGGAUGGCCCGGAGAAAUCCGGAUCGAUACCGCAUAAUACCUGAGGGUUAAAGUGGAGGAUCGCAAGACUUCACGUCUACAGAUGAGCCCACGUCAGAUUAGCUAGUUGGUAGGGUAAAGGCCUACCAAGGCGACGAUCUGUAGCUGGCCUGAGAGGGUGGCCAGCCACACUGGAACUGAGACGCGGUCCAGACUCCUACGGGAGGCAGCAGUGGGGAAUAUUGGACAAUGGGCGCAAGCCUGAUCCAGCCAUGCCGCGUGUGUGAAGAAGGCCUUCGGGUUGUAAAGCACUUUAAGUUGGGAGGAAGGUUCCUUGGCUAAUAUCCAAGGGAAUUGACGUUACCGACAGAAUAAGCACCGGCUAAUUCCGUGCCAGCCGCCGCAGUAA